UGAGAGGCUAGGUGGAUGCAGCUACC
RNAcentral lists this non-coding RNA (26 nucleotides) under Homo sapiens (human). The record is from RNAcentral. Lineage: Eukaryota; Metazoa; Chordata; Mammalia; Primates; Hominidae.